RNAcentral lists this ribosomal RNA (519 nucleotides) under uncultured bacterium. Its description in RNAcentral is "bacterial SSU rRNA". It matches the Rfam family "Bacterial small subunit ribosomal RNA", at positions 28 to 534 of the family's 1533-position model. The record is from RNAcentral.
GAUGAACGCUAGCGGCAGGCCUAACACAUGCAAGUCGAGGGGCAUCAUGGCGUAGCAAUACGCUGAUGGCGACCGGCGCACGGGUGCGUAACGCGUAUGGAACCUACCCACCGCAGGGGGAUAACCCGCCGAAAGGCGGACUAAUACCCCAUGGUUCCCCGACCCUGCCUGGGGUUGGGGGUAAAGCCUACGGGCGGCGGUGGAUGGCCCUGCGUGCCAUUAGCUGGCUGGUGGGGUAACGGCCCACCAGGGCGACGAUGGCUAGGGGGUCUGAGAGGACGAUCCCCCACACUGGUACUGAGACACGGACCAGACUCCUACGGGAGGCAGCAGUGAGGAAUAUUGGUCAAUGGGCGGAAGCCUGAACCAGCCAUGCCGCGUGCAGGAUGACGGCCCUACGGGUUGUAAACUGCUUUUCCCCGGGGCGAAUAACCCCCUCGCGACGGGGGAGUGCCGGUACCGGGGAGUAAGGAGUCGGCGUAACGUCCGUGCCAGCGAGCCGCGGUAAACCGUAGCGUG